UCCUCUCCCUGCAUUUAUUUAGUCCGGAAGUGUUUUCUUUGGAGACUAAAACACCAUAACGAAUAUUUUACCUGAAUUGUUGCCAAUUUCACAUUAUUGUGCCCUGAAAUUUUAACGCUAUACUCGUCCGUGUGUUGCACGCGUGGAUUAUGAGAGCACCAUUCGGAGGGGGGAGCACAGCGUGAACUGUUGUGAAACCUAGACCUGACCAGACCAAAUCUAAACCAAUCAUGGACGUCUAGAUGUUUGGGCCAAAUGAAGGCCGGUCCAGAUAUCUCUGCACGUUGAAAUCAAGACAAGGGCAGACUGACCAAAUUUCAACUACUUUUCAACGUCCAUGGACGUCCGGUGUUGGUCGGUGUUCGGUGGGUGAGGAUGCCGGUUACAGUAAAUGGAAAGACGGGGCUCAUGGAGUCUCCGUGAGUCAUCUAUAUGGGCCAUCUUCUCUCGAAAAAUGGUUACCGCCUGAACAAGAGGACACACAAGCUGCACCACAGGAAGAAGAAGAAGAGGAACUGCUUCCUGCAGGGGCCCUGCAUGCUCUGCUUCAUCGUCCACGGCAACAGCGGGGGCCUUGACGACGACGACAGCGACCAAUUGGAGACCGGGGUCAACGGCGGAGGCAGAGGACGUUGUCACAGCAACGCAGGUGGUACCGGAAUCGGAAGCACCUCAAAGCUCGCUGGGCGGUACGCUGCUCUCACUUCCCCUGAGGACUGUGCCAAGUUCCUGCUGUCGCCAAGGGAACUAGCCAUCUGGGAGGGCCAAGGGAGGAGUCUACUGUCGGCCGUGCCGGCUAAGCUGAUUCCACCGCCAGCGCUGUUCCGGAGUGCAGGGAUUCCAGUGCCCAUAGCUGUGGCUGUUUCUGUGCCUGGUAGUACCAGUGACUACGCUGAGAUGGUGUGUAAGAGGAAGUGUGCGGAGGUGCAGAGGUGCACACCCUGUAAGCAGCCGCGAUGUGCCUUCCCUGUCCCUGAGGGAGGUGUGGAGGAUGGAGGAGGAGGAGGAAGUGGGGAUGCCUCCUCUAACUCCGGGACUGGCCACUGCCACCUCUGCCCCCUGCCCUCAUCCUCUUCCUCCUCAUCCUCGUCUGUCGAGGGCUGCUGUGGGAUGGCUCUCCAUGGUGAUCCGCUGCCCCAGAGUUCUGACUCCUCCCCCUGCUGUCUGCAUCACCAUGACGACUGCCAGGGGAGAGGCAGUGACGUGAUUGACACAUCCAGCAUCAACCGCCUCCCCUCCUCCAUCCUGCUUAAGGUGUUCUCCCACCUGUCGGUGAAAGAGCGCUGUCUGUGUGCCUCGCUGGUCUGUAAGUACUGGAGGGACCUCUGCUUAGACUUCCAGUUCUGGAAGCAAAUUGACCUCAGUGGCCUACAACAAGUAAAUGAUGACCUCCUGGUGAAGAUAGCUUCUCGGAGGCAGAAUGUGACGGAGUUAAACAUCUCUGACUGUCGUGACGUGCAGGACCACGGUGUGUGUUCCCUGGCGGCCCACUGCCCGGGCCUUCAGAGGUACACAGCUUACCGCUGUAAACAGCUGAGUGACCUGUCUCUCAGCUCCCUGGCCUUACACUGUCCUCUGCUGGCCAAGGUCCAUGUUGGAAACCAGGACAAACUGACAGACGACGCACUCAAAAAGUUAGGAGAACACAGUUCAGAGUUGAAGGACAUCCACCUGGGCCAGUGCUACAGUAUUACUGAUGAGGGGAUGGUGGCUCUGUCCAAAGGAUGUCCCAAGCUGCAGAGAAUCUACAUGCAGGAGAACAAACUGGUGACUGAUAAGUCAGUGAGGGCGUUUGCCGAGCACUGUCCUGAGCUGCAGUUUGUGGGCUUCAUGGGCUGUUCUGUGACAUCACUGGGAGUCAUCCAUCUUACUGGGGUGGCGAAUCGCAUCUCUGCAUGUCUGGCAGACAUAUCAGUGUGGAUGACGGAUCACCACCUCAAGCUGAACCUCGGCAAGACGGAGCUGCUCUUCCUCCCGGGGAAGGACUGCCCGUUCCAUGAUCUCGCCAUCACGGUUGACAACUCCAUUGUGUCCUCCUCCCAGAGCGCUAAGAACCUUGGCGUGAUCCUGGACAACACCCUGUCGUUCUCAACCAACAUCAUGGCGGUGGCCCGUUCCUGUAGGUUCAUGCUCUACAACAUCCGCAGAGUACGACCCUGCCUCACACAGGAAGCGGCGCAGGUCCUAAUCCAGGCACUUGUCAUCUCCCGUCUGGAUUACUGCAACUCGCUGUUGGCUGGGCUCCCUGCCUGUGCCAUUAAACCCCUACAACUCAUCCAGAACGCCGCAGCCCGUCUGGUGUUCAACCUUCCCAAGUUCUCUCACGUCACCCCGCUCCUCCGCUCUCUCCACUGGCUUCCAGUUGAAGCUCGCAUCCGCUACAAGACCAUGGUGCUUGCCUACGGAGCUGUGAGGGGAACGGCACCGCAGUACCUCCAGGCUCUGAUCAGGCCCUACACCCAAGCAAGGGCACUGCGUUCAUCCACCUCUGGCCUGCUCGCCUCCCUACCAUUGAGGAAGUACAGUUCCCGCUCAGCCCAGUCAAAACUGUUCGCUGCUCUGGCCCCCCAAUGGUGGAACAAACUCCCUCACGACGCCAGGACAGCGGAGUCAAUCACCACCUUCCGGAGACACCUGAAACCCCACCUCUUCAAGGAAUACCUAGGAUAGGAUAAGUAAUCCUUCUCACCCCCCCCCCCCCCCUUAAUGAUUUAGAUGCACUAUUGUAAAGUGGCUGUUCCACUGGAUGUCAGAAGGUGAAUUCACCAAUUUGUAAGUCGCUCUGGAUAAGAGCGUCUGCUAAAUGACUUAAAUGUAAAUGUAAAUGUAAAUGUUAAUUUGGACUGAUUUUACUCCCUUCUAGAUAGAGGGGCGGAAUGUUCCAUCUGUCCGUAUCUGCUCUAAUUCUAUUGAUACAAUACAUUUUAGUGUAAUUUGCUUCAUACAAAUGAUCUAGACGAGCAGGUAUGGUAAUUCAUAAAUAUCUUCUACUACAAUUUGGCCAUUUUAAAUGACAGCAAGGCUUUUGCUUGCUGUGAAAUGUCGCCUCCUAUUUUCAUGGCCUCUGUCAACAUUUACUUUGUACCCUGAGUAAUGACCAAACUAUUUAAUAAUCUACAUGGGAUGGAUGCCUGUGGCUAAGAUAAAUAGAGGAGAAUGUCAUCUGCAUAUAGGGAAAUCUUAUGCUCCUCUCCACCAAUCUUAAUACCUUUUUUAAUAUCCUCUUCAUCCCUUAUCAUUUGGACUAAAGGUUCAAUACAGUUAUCAAACAGUAGGGGGUUCAAUCCGUAACCAAGUAUUGUCCCGCUUUCCAGAAUAAAAUAAUUGGAUAUAGCACUGUUUGCAUGAACUGAGGUUUUUGGAUUUGAAUAAAGUAUUCUUAUCCACAGGGAUGCAAACUAGUCAUCUUCAGGGGAAAUUUGCCGUUUUGAAUCCAAAAUAGGUGACCUACGUGAUUCGUGUAGAUCCGAUAAGAAAAGUUUCGAUGACUACUGGCUGUAUGCGAAUGAGUGAUAUGCGUAUUAGCAAUACUGGCUGUAUCCAAGGCUCAGCCAAUCGUUCACAUAACAACAUAAUGCAGCACGCGACUGAAGAGAGAGAAGACAACCAAUUUGCUAGUUUUACAGCAUCCGCGCGGGAGAGUGGAAAGGCAGUUUGUCAUUUAAUUUACAGCAGCGCGUCCCCUGAACGAUAACGAUAGGUAGGUGAGAAGCCUGACCACGGAGACAUGGGUGGGAAGGGGAUGAAGCGUACUUCAUGAGCUGUAACCGAAAAACAACUGGCAUUUAGAAAGUUUGAGGUGAGGGAGAAAGUGUGGUGGACCAAGUAUUGUUCGCAUUGUUAAGUAUCUUGCAAGCUGGUUCAAAUGAUCUGUUAGCUAGCCAGAGAAAUCAUGGGCAUUAGCCAAUUUAAUUGAUAAAAAUGAGUUUAUGGGGUGAAAAUUGGCUGGCUAAUAAAGUCAGACCGAUAACAUUACAACGUCAGAUGAGCUAACGUUAGUAAUCUAACCAAUCCGCUACGACUCCUUGCCUUUCAUCAAGUUAUAAUGCGUUAGCUGCUUACUGGACCCUGGCAAUCUGUGUGAAAUGUCAGUUUGUUUGUUAGCUAACUAUAACUAGUUAUCUGUGCACUAAUGUUUUCCCUCUACAGUAUGUGGUUUAUUUUCUGAAUGAGAAAAUUAGGUGAAAAUGAGGCGUUGCUUGUUAAAACAAGUGGAUUCAGGGAUGAAGUGGAGCUGGGCCUGGCUUAAACUGGAUGCCACCAUAGAGCUGCGUAACCUGAGCAGCCUGGACCUGCGGCACAUCUCCGAGCUCAACAACGAGACCGUGAUGGAGGUGGUCCGAAAGUGUA
RNA transcript from Oncorhynchus masou masou (cherry salmon), 4350 nucleotides. It is a transcript of the gene named F-box/LRR-repeat protein 17-like, with no coding region annotated. The transcript is spliced from 10 exons. The record is from RefSeq and is a predicted model, not a curated record. NCBI's taxonomy places the organism in Eukaryota, Metazoa, Chordata, Actinopteri, Salmoniformes, Salmonidae.